AUUGAACGCCGGCGGCAUGCCUUACACAUGCAAGUCGAACGGUAACGGGCCUUCGGGUGCCGACGAGUGGCGCACGGGUGAGUAAUACAUCGGAACGUGCCCGAUCGUGGGGGAUAACGAGGCGAAAGCUUUGCUAAUACCGCAUACGAUCUACGGAUGAAAGCAGGGGACCGCAAGGCCUUGCGCGGACGGAGCGGCCGAUGGCAGAUUAGGUAGUUGGUGGGAUAAAAGCUUACCAAGCCGACGAUCUGUAGCUGGUCUGAGAGGAUGAUCAGCCACACUGGGACUGAGACACGGCCCAGACUCCUACGGGAGGCAGCAGUGGGGAAUUUUGGACAAUGGGCGCAAGCCUGAUCCAGCCAUGCCGCGUGCAGGAUGAAGGCCUUCGGGUUGUAAACUGCUUUUGUACGGAACGAAAAGCCUUCUUUUAAUACAGGAGGGUCAUGACGGUACCGUAAGAAUAAGCACCGGCUAACUACGUG
Molecule: ribosomal RNA, 482 nt
Filed under: uncultured bacterium
Lineage: Bacteria
Description: partial 16S ribosomal RNA
Rfam family: Bacterial small subunit ribosomal RNA
Source: RNAcentral